Haemorhous mexicanus (house finch) is the source of this 6806-nucleotide long non-coding RNA. RefSeq lists it as uncharacterized. The transcript has 4 exons. The record is from RefSeq and is a predicted model, not a curated record. NCBI's taxonomy places the organism in Eukaryota, Metazoa, Chordata, Aves, Passeriformes, Fringillidae.
GUCACUCCUCUUGCAGCUAAGCUCCUUUAGCAUAACAAACUCUGGCUUAGACUUUCUCUCCCAGAGCUGCCAGCUCCUCCCCACCACCCAUCUGCUCUGUCCAGGGAGAGCUCUGCCAUUUCUUGCAGAGCCCAAUGAUACAUCUAGCCUGCCCUGGGAAACUGUGACCCCAACACCCAACACUUCUGUCAGGGUAGGUAAGGAGGACUGCUGCUCUGCUCUGUCCUCUGGGGCCAGGACUGCAUUCCCUCUGCAUAGAGACCUUAGGUGUCUUAGCUCCACUGGGAAAGAAAAGUGCUCUGAAGAGAGGCUGAAGACCUGCUUGGGUUUUGUGAAGAAAGAAGGUACAAGGCCUGGCAGAGACACAGCUGAGAUGCCACUGCAAUGCAGCACAGAUGACCUUCCAAAUCCUCUCUCCUCAUGGAUAUCAUGCUAAGAUGGCACAGAAAAAGCUGACUACACUUCUCCCCACAACUUGUGAUCCAGACUGUGUUGGUGUGAUCCUCCCUCCUCUGACCUGAUACCCCAAUCCUGGUGUGGUGACAGGAGGGUAUCUUCCCUCACCUUCAGAUGGGAUAACAGCCAGACCAAACAGAGAGAAGGUAGCAACACACAGGUAUGCAGGCCUCUUGACUUUCCUGUUGUGGAGCAUGACUCAGGCCACGUGCCAGUUUACAAGGCAAUGAAAGAGGAACUGGCUGUUCCCUGCAUUGCUGUGUCCUUCUUGCAGGGAUGCUCUGCAUCUCCUCCUCCCCCAGGCUGUAUUGAUCCUGGGACGAGUCCUUAAGCUUGGCCUUGCUGAACUUUUUUUUUUUCCCCAGGCUGAGAGGAGUAUCCCACUUCAAUGGAAUAUUUCUUAAGUAUAGACUACAAAUGUUGUUUUCAGUCCAGAGUAGAUAUGUUCAUGUGACUCUCAAAAAUUCUGCAAAGUGCUGGUAGUUCAGAACUUCUUUGUAGGAGAUGAGUUUAUAAAUGUUCUUGAGCAUUUUUCCAGCUGUCCAAUAUCCAACAGAGGUAUCUCCUCCCACCUUCAUAGUACAAUGACAUGGAAAUUGAAGACCUUUACUGUAGAAUGAAGCAUUUCAGGAAAGGUCCCCCUGAGUUUUCAUGCUGCUCCAGUAGUAGUAACCAUCACACUCUUUAGACAAUAGCUGAAAGAAAGUUAUUUCAGCAGAGUUUGACUCUAGCACAGACACAGGUGCCUGGUCUGGAGGUAUUUACCAGGGCACAGCCCAAAUUAGCCCAGGCUGAUGGAGCUUUGCUGAGGCCAGCAGAGGCAUUGGAUUUAGACUGCUUGAGGGUCUGCCUCACUAGUUUUACUACACUUUAAACAUUUGUGUUUACACAUGUGUAUUCUUUUGAUUUUUAACACUUUUUGGCAUUGCUAACCUCCUGCAGAUGAAUAGUUAAUUACCCUCCCCCCUGUGCACUUAAUAGUAUAAGUGGCAUUUGCAGGGUUUUUAAGAGCAUGUGCCAAGCAAAAGAACUUUCAGCAACCACAAGAAAGUGAGUUCUUAUGAUCCCCUGGCUGGAAGUGUAUGCAGGACCCUUGAGUGGUGGCACUGCAGUCUGCAAAUCCUGGCACCGUUUGGUUUUGCAUGUGCCGAGGAAUGCCUGCCCUCCCUCUGCAUUCAAUUUCCCUGUCUCCAGCUUUAUUUAGUUAGAUGUUUCUCUUGUGCAUCCAGUAAAACUCGACCACAAGAAUGAGUAGUUGCUGUUUAUAAAAUCAGCACAUUGCUAUGUAAUCCAGAUGACAGGAGAAGUGUGAAAUGCUGUUAAAUACUCGACUAUAACCACAGCUCAGUUAGAUCUAGACAGUUAAAGUGCACUGGCGUCUAGGUUUCCUGAAGGGUUGACUCUAGAAGUGGGAGGCCCACUUCACUUUCAGGGUGUAGGAAACAGAACAGCUUUCACUGAAGUGUACACGCUUAUUCUGACUUUUUCCUGGUAUAAAUGAAGGAGCAAUGCUGCCAGUGUUACAGAAAAUAUGAGAUACAUCCAUAAUUACUCUUAAAAUAUUAACCUUCUGGGAAACUCUAGAAUAUUUACAUUCACUUAGAGAAUGAUCACACUGAUAAAAUGGCAGUUUUGUUAACAGUAAGGUUUUGACAAAAAUCUUUCAUCUCCUUACUCUAAUGGGAAAAAAUAACAACUAAGGAGUUCUGGACACUGGGUUUAGGGUCUGGCAUUCUGGCAUUAGGAACACCAGUUGCUAAAUGUGCAAGUAUCUUCUUGUUCACAAAUGAUUUUUUUAAGUGCUAUUAGUGCGGACUGGAAGAAAUUUUGGUUUUUCUUUACAAAUGUGAUUCCUUAUGAUGCCUUAUAGGCUAGCCAGUAUGUUUGCCUCUGUAUCCAAGUAAGAUAUUUAAGGCUGAAAAUAAACCAGAAUUGCUGAAGGAAGACACCUCCCUGCUCCAAUUCUAUUGUCUGCCCACUGACCCCGGCAAAAUAUAUAGGGAGGAGAGGUGAAGCAGAUGGGUGACAACCCUCUGUCAUUCUCUGUUUUCCCCUAAAUUGAGUCCCACACUACUUGGUGGAAAGUACAACCUGCCAUGACCCACUAUUGAUGUCAACAACCCCAAUAAACUUACACUUACCAACGUUGCAAUGUGUUAAUGUGAGUAAGAUGAGGGGGUUCCUAUGGACUCCACACCCAGUCAUAUUUUCAUUACUGGCAAUGUAUUAUUGAAAGCAAGAAGAGAUGAAUGUAAAACAUCUACAUUUCUUUGUAAAAACAUAGAAAUACUGCUAGCUUGAACCUCACUCCUAGAAGCACAUGGUAAAGAAAUACCUCCCCCAGGUUCACUUCAGAAGUGGUGUUUCUGUAGCUAUAGGAACAGGAAUUCUGUAUAAAACAAAGAAAUACUUUAUAAAUGAGAAUGACCGUAGGAUUUGGGGGAAAAAAUCCAAACACAAGGUGAUACUCAGACAUUAUCUCAUUUCCCUGUCCAAAGAUGUGAAUUUCCUAAAAGAAAAAAACCCAGUCACUUCCUUUUUUUGUCUCUGCCAAUUCAUCUCAUGGUUUUGGAGGUGGAUCUCAGCAUGGUUCAAGUAUACAGAGUCUGUCUUCAGUCUCUAAAAUUGUUUCUUGCAUCACUGUAAAAAACAGUUGCACUGAGUUUAGUUUUACUGAUACUGAUUGAAUUAUUACCUGGAUUUACUCAAUUUUGUUGCAGUCAUCUGUAACAAGAAACAUCUUUGAUGCUGCCUCCUGCUGCCCAACCAUCUUUAGAAAAUCCCAUUACAAAACUCUCAGGGGGUGAUGUGUCAAAAGCAUAAUUUGUCACAGAGUUGGUUCCUACAACAAGAUGUGAAUUCUGGCUUCUCUUUUACCUUGCCUUGCUUAGUCCUGCUACCUCCCAGCUCUGAGUUUCUGUCUGUUCUGGGGGCUCCUCAGGUUAUCAGUCAAGGUAAAAGAGAGGUAAAUUUCAUCUCUUAGCUGCAAUUUCUGCUGUCCCCAUGUGGAGUGACAAACAACUCAUUCCAAUGUGCAGCUGCUGUCCAUUGCUCCCUCUCUCCCUCACAGGAUUGUGGCAAACUCAGCAUUUUAUGCAUUACAAGGACAUAGAGUUAAGUCCAGAAAAAUCCUAUUUGAAAGGUACUAUUCCCAAGAUCAUGCAGUGGGAUUACAAUUUUUAUCUGUCCACAGCAGCCAUUUCCUAUGGAAUAGUUAAUGUUCAAUAUUAAAUUCCACACCAAACAAAUAUAGGACAAUGCUGGGCUUUUUUACUUAAAAAGCUAGCAAACUUUAUCUGCUCAGAUGCAGCAGUGAGGGGAGAGCAGACACUGGUGCUCAUGAGCACCAGGAGUGUGAAAAGGUGUGUGAGCUGCCCACUCUCUCUUGCUUUCUCCAACUUUCAUCCAGGGAAAAUUUUUCCUUGUAUAUAUGGCAGCCUCUUCUUUCCUUCUGAGGGCUGAAAAUGGUCUACUUCAAGAUUGUCUGUGAUCUACCAAAAAGUUUAACAAAGUGAGGUGCUUCAUGUAGCAGUGGACAAGGACUGCAUAUUUCUGAAACUGGUCAGUACCUGCUUUAAUGAUCUCCCAGAAGCUGCUGCAGAUUGUAUUUGAUCUGUUUACUAUCUUUCCAUGAUUCUUUUUCCAGUUAUGCUCACAAGGAGCUCAUCUCCCUCUCCCUCUCCCUCUCCCUUUCCCUCUCCCUCUCCAGGAUAGAUACCCAACUACUCCCAUCCUUUGCCCUAGCAGCAGUCCCCCUGCCACACUCUUGUUUCCAGGAAGUGCUUUUAGAGACAGAAGGGAUCAAAUGUUAUCUCAAAUUUAAUUUUUGGAUAAGUGCAUUAUCAGGGCAUGCAUCAUGAUCAGGGAUUACUUUCAUUAAAAUGUAAAAAAUAAAAAAAAAUUAAAAAAAGUCUCAGAAGAACAUUCUGAUGUUCAAUUCCCCCAGCAAAUUAUGACUUAAUAUUUCAAGUAAAUGAGUAGAUCAAAUUAAUGAAACAGGCCUUUGAAAGGUAGGAAAUUAGGGACCUGCAUGAAUUUGUGUCACAGGCUCCAUUUUAUGAGCUACAUUUUACCAUUCACAGUACAAAAUGAAAGAGCUCUGUUUUAUCAGUUGCUCAUAUCCAGCUGCUAUGAAAAUAAUAUGUUUGAUAUAAUUCAUUUGACAUUUGAUGGGUUUAAGGUUCCUCUGACAAGAUAUAAUCAACUCAUUAUGGAGAAACAGAAACCUUCCUUGUUACAAAUAAAUUAUUCCUAGUCAUGAUUGAAUUACUGUGUGUUCAAUGAAAAUGGGAUGGAGGGGUUUCCAGUAGAGGUGGAUAUUUUAUCAUCAGGCCUGUGUGAUAAAAGCCAACUCAAGCUACUUUAUGUUUUCUCUCUUCAGUGCUCUGAUUAAUGAGCGGCAUUACUUUUUCAAACCAACAAAUUAGGUCUUUCCUCUCCAUUUUUUCACAUUAAAGCUGUUAGAUCAAAGUAUAAAAACUGUGUCUUUCUUUUUUAUGCACAAAGCCUGGAUAAACAGCUUGAACAGAGUGUUCUUUUACAUUAUUUUGUUAGUUUAUUUUUAAAAAUCUCAACGGUGUUUGUGAAGCAAAGCUAGCUUUAUGGGUGGGGUGUGAACUGUCUGUUUUAAGUCAGAACAUGUGAUUAAUUGAAUUUUGGUCUUAACAUCAAAUAUGUUGCACGCUGUGUUCUGCACCAUUACGUUGUAGGAACAGGAGAAAGUUGUAUCGUUUUGCUGGAAUUAAUUAAUUAAAAAUGCAUCUCUAGAGGCAGCUGAGGCAAUGCAGCCAUCCAGGACUACAGAGCUGAACAUGUUUGGGACUGAAGGAACGGCACAGUGUGCACCAGUCUGUGAGAUCAGCUUCCAUGAUUUCAAAGGAAUUUGCACAUGCGAAAUCUUUUUACAGUUUUUAUGGCCUGUAAAAUCCAUCAAAAUAAUGUUACUUGGUGGAAACAUAAAAACAGCAAUGAAAAUAAAUCUGGGAUGACAAGUUUGGGGAGCAGAUCAACAUGUGAGGUGGAACCCUGCAAACACCACCAGAAGACCAGGUUGCCUGCUUCAAAAUCUUCUGAUUAUAACUGUGCUUCUAAGAUACUAGAACAAAAAACACUAGAGCCAUUUUGAAGCAAAGGCACAUAAAUUACCCAGCAGCUACUGAAUGUUUCUCUAGACUUCCAGAAAUAUUGCCUCUCAUGGGAGCCACUUAUUUUUUCUGCAUAUCUAAAGCAUAAAAAAGGUUUCAUAUACAGUUAAAAGGAAGAAGAACAGACCUGAGAACUAUGCACCAUUUCCCCUGUUCUUUCUUGUUCAUCUUCGGCAGGAAAGAAAGAAAAAACCCUAUUUCUUUGCUCUUUGCCAUUAUUAUAGCAUAAAAUGUAUGAUAUGUGUGUGGCUUCAUAGCUCAUAAAAAAUUUUUCCUGUACUGUGCUUAAUUAAUAUUACCACAUUGGGUCAUCCAAAGUCCAAAAAGAUCUGAACAAACUGAAAAUGAACAACUGACGCCACUAAUGCUGUAGAAAACUAGAAUGAUGCAAUAUGCAUAAAGCCACUCUAAGUCUCACUAAUUCCACAUGUGCCAGUCCUGACUCUGCUCUGUAUUGCCAGUUACAAGCAGUGAAAUUCACCAUGACACAGAGGGAUUUAAAAAUUAACCUCCAGCUAUUCCUCUAAGUACCAUUCACUAGAACGUGAUGAUCGCUCACGGGAAAGUUUGCAAGGUCUUGCAAAGUGCCUAUUGAGACUGAAUGGUAAAGCAAUAUACUCUCAGGAGUCCCUGCUGCUUUUCAAAGUGCAGCUCUAUAACCCUUGCCAAAAGUCAGAAUAAUCUCAUGUUGCCAUACUUUUAACUCUCUUAGGUGGCUUUGAAAGCCGUAGCAUACAAGGUUUCCAUCAUGCUGACAGGUUUGAGUCUGCAGUUUCUUCUUGAGGGCUGGAAUUCUUUGUAAUUUUUCAACUCUAUUGCUCAAAGUAACUUUGACAUCUUUCAUUUGGUCUUUGUUUCCUUCUGCAUUUUGUCCCUUUUUUCCUGGAGCUGUGAAUCACAUUUCUCACCUAUUUACAAAUAUUUUAUAAGGGGUUUUCCUUGCCAUGGGUCAGCUGACCAUGCUUGCUUUUCAGAGGGAUGUGAAAAAAGAGAUAGAAGAGACCUACAUACAUAAUUAAUAUACAGAUAAUUUAUAGCACUGGUUUCCCCAUUUAGACAAAAUUAGAUAACUUUAUGGGAAAAUGCAUGACUGCAGUUUAUGGAGAGCAGAGACUUUAAUAUUUGUGCAGCUAGCCAAGAUUUCUUCAGUUCAUGCUUUUGUUUCUGCUAUUGUUUGCAACCACACAUGACAAUUGUGUCUCUCUC